RNAcentral lists this ribosomal RNA (236 nucleotides) under uncultured bacterium. Its description in RNAcentral is "partial 16S rRNA". It matches the Rfam family "Bacterial small subunit ribosomal RNA", at positions 505 to 740 of the family's 1533-position model. The record is from RNAcentral.
GUGUCAGCCGCCGCGGUAAUACGUAGGGAGCAAGCGUUGUCCGGAUUUACUGGGUGUAAAGGGUGCGUAGGCGGCUCUGCAAGUCAGGCGUGAAAACCAUGGGCUUAACCCAUGGACUGCGUUUGAAACUGUGGAGCUUGAGUGAAGUAGAGGUAGGCGGAAUUCCCGGUGUAGCGGUGCAAUGCGUAGAGAUCGGGAGGAACACCAGUGGCGAAGGCGGCUUACUGUGCUUUAAC